Long non-coding RNA from Meleagris gallopavo (turkey), 1527 nucleotides. RefSeq lists it as uncharacterized. The record is from RefSeq and is a predicted model, not a curated record. NCBI's taxonomy places the organism in Eukaryota, Metazoa, Chordata, Aves, Galliformes, Phasianidae.
CUGGGUGCUGGCUGCCAUGUUCCCUUUCCAUUUGUGGGCAGCUCCACGCCUGCUGUAGGCUGAGAGCAAAGCUCAGGUGUGCUUUAUGGGCUGGGAUCACUGAUGUCCCAUCACAUUGUAACAACCAGAUUCACGUUACAAGAUGCUGCUGGCUGUGGCCUGGCUGGGGCAGCCCCCAGGAGCCGCAGCCCCCAGGAGCCACAGCCCUGGAGUGGUGCUCUGUGUCCCCAUGUCCUUGCAGGAAUGCCAGGGCUGUGCCCUUGCCGACUGGAGAAUGAUGGAUGAGCCCCAUCAUCAUACCACAAGCCUGGCAGGGCAGGCAGGGAGCAGCGACUGCUGUAAUAGGGUCAUGAUUUUCAAAACAAGGUCAAGCACCAUGCCUGUGGGUGAGUAUCCUCAUCAGGGGAUGGCAGGAGCUGUUCGGACACGCAGGGUUGGAUUCCAGCUGAUCCUGACAGUGAGCAUCUUCCCUGCCCUGUGAUGACCUGGUGUCAUGCUCCUCGUGCUCAUCCUGACCCUGAUCUCUGUGUGCCUUGCCCACUCUUACUUUUGAUGUAACCUUGCUGGGAGGACUCAUGCUCUGUAUUUAAGGCCAGCAUGGACUCCCAUGAGUCCAGAAGGCUCAGUGCAUCCAUGGGCAGGUUUUUGGGGUGGGUGACCUCUGUGCAGCUGCAGCUCUACUGCAGGGUACCCAGGGUUGGCUUGCGCAUGAGUUACAAUUACAGUUGUAAUUACUGUGGGAGGAACUUUGCUGUAGAUUUGAAGGGUUUAAAUGGGGCAAAUCUUGUGGGAGAGGUAAUACCUUUUAUUAGGUGGAGAAAACAAAUCAGCUUUCAGGUACACAAGCCCUUCUUGACAUUAUCGUUGCUGUUAUUAUCCCAUAUUGGUGCUAUUAGGAACGAGGGCAUUGCAUUAGAGGGGAAGCACAUUAUGCAAGUGUUUAGACUUGCUGGUAACUGCUCUCUGCUGACAGCUAUUUGCUUAAUGAUAUGUUGGAGCAGAAGCCAACAGCAAGGACGAGCAGAAGGAGCACUGCCUGGGCUGUGAUGCUCUGGGAAGAGGGCUGCAAAGACCUGGUGGUGGAGGUUCUUACCCUCUGGCUCUAAGGAGACCUCCAAGUUCCAUCCUCUGUGUCUGAUAGGGCUCUGCCCUUGGUAUAUUCCCAAUGGAGUGCCCUGAAGAGCUGGUAUGGGUUCAGGCUCAGUGCUGCUGCCAGUGCUGGAGGCAGAAAUGUCUGCCAGGCUCUAAAGGUGUGAAUGUGACUGGUCAUGUUCUCAGUGUCAUGUGCUGUCCGGGGCGGGUGGCAGAGCCAGUUUUUCUGCUUCCAAAGUGAGACUUGGGGAGGAGACCGCAAUGCUCAAAUAGCCACCACUCUGCCUGCUGCCAGUUAGAUGCCGAGGAGCCCACUCACCUUUCCUGCUUCAGGUGUGAGCACCUCGUGCCCCAGAGCCCUUUGGCUGUGGUGAAAUGUCGACGAUCCUGAAAUGGUUUGGAAGGGAAGAUAAGGAGAGAGAGGAGAAGGAAGAG